AUAACAUGGUAGAUGAGGCGACCGUGAUCAGUGUCAUACUAUUGUGGGCAGCACAAUCAACUGAUACGGAUGCAUGUUUGAAAGGAAUGACUGGUGUUCCAGCAAUCCAGCAUCCUUUCUGCUUCCACUAUAUUGUGCGGACUUUGCUAUGCUUCUCUAUGGACAACUUAUCCAUGCCAUUAGAGCUUGAGAUGGUCAAUGGUGAUUAUUGGGCUUUGAGUAAAGGAUGCACCAUGACAAAUCAAAAUGUGCUGCUACAUUAACAGAAGGCAAUCAAAGCACAAAAGAUUGUGCCACAUGGUGUCGCUGAUAUCAUCUUGGACUAAACUGGCAGGUUGGAUAAGUAGAAAGCAUGCUUACCAGAGACAUCAUACUUCUUCCUUGCUGCCUUUGGUGAGCGAUUCUCGAUCCAGAAUACUAUGUUCAUCAUACCGUCUUUGUUGAGUAUAUAUUUAAUUCUUCAGCAUUCUGAUAAUAUACCAUGCAUGGGUCAUUUUACUUUGACAUUCUAAUGCAUUAUUUAACCGGCAGCUAAGGCGCAAAAGUUGUAGUCAGCUUGACACCGCUCCUGGGCAGCCAUUGUUUGUAGAAACAAGAAAAUCAUGGAUUACCGGCUAAGCUGCAAAAGGAAAAAUCUUUACCAUCUCUAUAACCAACUGGUUUCCACUGCUAAAAAUAAAUCAUCCCUUGGAAGAAUAAAAUGUCCAUUUUCUAAUUAAGAUGCACCUGCUCCCUAAGUGUACCUACUGAUUUUCCCUUUUAACAAUUGCCAUCUGAGCAAAAGAGCUAUUACACACAACUGUCGGGCAAUGGCGGAGCUGCAGUAUAGCUAUUGGGUUCAGAUGAACCCAGUAAAGAUUGUCAAUUUCAAUAGAAUUUGGACUAGAAACUACAUGUGAACCCCAUGGUUACAAUGGAGUGAACCCAAUACUUGGUUUUUCUGGCUCCGCUGGGCAUACAUAGGAAUAAGGCUACUCAACUAUACGGCAAAUAAUCCAUUCUCCCUUUGGUACUCUUUUAUUGAGAAGAAUUUGAAACCUUUUUUACAACUUCUUGAAAACUUGUUCAUGCCAUUACUAAAAGUCAUAGCCAGACAAAGAAGUGGCCUUCCAGGUUAGCUCCUUUGUUAUUUUGUUAUUGACAAAGAUUUGAGAUCGCUAACUGGGCUUGCCACUCGGUUCCAGGGCAGCUACUUCGAAACACAUUUCAGCCGUUUUGAUUUGUUGUGGUUGUUUGUUGUUUCGGUACAAACUUGGAGGGUUGCGAUCGCAUCUAGGAAAGUGGAAAGGCUUCAAAAGGCAAGCCCAGCAACCAAACCCAACAUUGUGUCAGCCUCUUCCCUCCCCUCCCUUCUCACAGUUAAACCUAUAUCUCACGCCUUAAGAAUGUCAAACAACACAAACAAGAUAUAGUUUCUACUUAAAAUUGAUGAUAAAACAACUAAACGUAGGGUCUCGAGCAUAACUUUCAAUAAGUGGACCUUCCACGCUCUUUCCUCGUUGAUUGAUCCUUUGAUGCUCGUAUCUACUCGCCAUUUAGUUGCUACAUAAGAUAAGAUUGUGCAACGACACCAAGAGAGUUUGGUUGAUCCUUUGAUGCUCGUAUCUGCUCGCCAUUUAGUUGUUACGUAAGAUAAGAUUGUGCAACGACACCAAGAGAGAAACUAAAAACAGAAAGAAAAAAAACUAUAUAUGAAAAUAACCUUUGCUUGGGCAAAUUACGAAAAGGGAAAAACAUCAUUUGUUCAAACAGAGUAUGGGAGGUGGUAACCUCCCGAAGCUUAGAAUUAAGCUAGGGUGGAAAUUACUUUUACGGUUUCACCAUUUGAGCGUGAAUAAUCUUUCUCCAAUUGGUGAAAAUCUUUCCUUAUUUCGGUCCUUGUUGUGGUUCGAUUCCUAUCUUCCAAUAAUACCUGCUGACAAAAAAAAACUAGAAAACAAAAACAAAUAUUUUGGUGGGUUUUUAUUUUUCUUCUUCUAGAACACGGGCUAGUCAA
Molecule: long non-coding RNA, 1996 nt
Organism: Brachypodium distachyon (stiff brome)
Lineage: Eukaryota; Viridiplantae; Streptophyta; Magnoliopsida; Poales; Poaceae
Exons: 3
Source: RefSeq, a predicted model, not a curated record